GCGUUUAUAGCGCAAGCGGUAGAGCGCGAGCUUCUCAUACUGCAGGUCAGGGGAUCGAAUCCCCUUGGGCGCA
Molecule: non-coding RNA, 73 nt
Organism: Mycotypha africana
Lineage: Eukaryota; Fungi; Mucoromycota; Mucoromycetes; Mucorales; Mycotyphaceae
Source: the annotation of a RefSeq genome assembly